CACUCCUGCGGGAGGCAGCAGUGGGGAAUAUUGGACAAUGGGCGCAAGCCUGAUCCAGCCAUGCCGCGUGAGUGAUGAAGGCCCUAGGGUUGUAAAGCUCUUUCACCGGUGAAGAUAAUGACGGUAACCGGAGAAGAAGCCCCGGCUAACUUCGUGCCAGCAGCCGCGGUAAUACGAAGGGGGCUAGCGUUGUUCGGAUUUACUGGGCGUAAAGCGCACGUAGGCGGACUAUUAAGUCAGGGGUGAAAUCCCGGGGCUCAACCCCGGAACUGCCUUUGAUACUGGUAGUCUUGAGUUCGAGAGAGGUGAGUGGAAUUCCGAGUGUAGAGGUGAAAUUCGUAGAUAUUCGGAGGAACACCAGUGGCGAAGGCGGCUCACUGGCUCGAUACUGACGCUGAGGUGCGAAAGCGUGGGGAGCAAACAGGAUUAGAUACCCGGGUAGUCCCA
Molecule: ribosomal RNA, 447 nt
Filed under: uncultured organism
Description: partial 16S ribosomal RNA
Rfam family: Bacterial small subunit ribosomal RNA
Source: RNAcentral